This is a long non-coding RNA of Jaculus jaculus (lesser Egyptian jerboa), 839 nucleotides long. RefSeq lists it as uncharacterized. The record is from RefSeq and is a predicted model, not a curated record. Lineage: Eukaryota; Metazoa; Chordata; Mammalia; Rodentia; Dipodidae. The transcript is spliced from 3 exons.
CCUCGCUGGGCUCCGCUCGCUCGCAGCCCCGCGCGUGGCCUGCGUUCAAACACCGCCGCUUCUGCUAAGCUCGAGAGCAGUUGGCCCCGGCGCAGUUGUUUACCAUCGACCCCCUCGUGAUCUCACUCUGUAGCCCAGGCUGGUCCCCAACUUGAGCUUCUGCCUCCUGAGAGCUGCUGGGAUCACAGCAUAUGUCACCAUGCCUAGGUAAUCUGUCCCAGCCAUGAGAAGGUAACUAAUGCAGUCCUUCAGCUCCUUCCUCUUCAGCCGGGUCACUACACUGACUCCCUGACUCUCCAGUGCAAUUGAGAUCUCAUUGCUUUUGGUUAUGACUUGAUUGGUCCUUCCUUUCCCUUCUGCUUUCCUCUACUAGGGUUUCCUGGGGUGACUCCCCAAAUACUGGCAUUCCAUUCUUUAUCCUCUGGUUUGCUUCUGGGAACCCCAAAGAGGACAAAUCUCCUGGUGUAGUAAGUUUCUCACUGCUCUGGACACCGUGAAGGGUAUGGAAUGGAAAAGGGAGAGAGAUUAAGAAAUACAGUUCACAAAUUCGCUCAUACAUUGUUUCUCCAGUAAAGAUUUGUUAAGCAUCUAUUUCAUACUAUGCUCUAUGCUCAGUGCUGACCAGGAAUUCCAUCACCUAGGGCUCUGAGGAGUCACCCAACACUUAAAUCUUAUCAAGCUUGCCUCUGCAGGCACAGCCACAUUGGCAGUGGGAGUGUUAAAAAGAGGAAGUUUCAGGGCUGGAGAGAUGGCUUAGCGGUUAAGCGCUUGCCUGUGAAGCCUAAGGACCCCGGUUCGAGGCUCGGUUCCCCAGGUCCCACGUUAGCCGAGAUGCACAA